AGGGUAAUAGCUCAGUGAUAGAGCAUAUGCUUAGCAUGUAUGAGGUCCUGGGUUCAAUCUCCAGUGCCUUUA
RNAcentral lists this transfer RNA (72 nucleotides) under Camelus bactrianus (Bactrian camel). It matches the Rfam family "tRNA". Rfam says of the family: Transfer RNA (tRNA) molecules are approximately 80 nucleotides in length. Their secondary structure includes four short double-helical elements and three loops (D, anti-codon, and T loops). Further hydrogen bonds mediate the characteristic L-shaped molecular structure. tRNAs have two regions of fundamental functional importance: the anti-codon, which is responsible for specific mRNA codon recognition, and the 3' end, to which the tRNAs corresponding amino acid is attached (by aminoacyl-tRNA synthetases). tRNAs cope with the degeneracy of the genetic code in two manners: having more than one tRNA (with a specific anti-codon) for a particular amino acid; and 'wobble' base-pairing, i.e. permitting non-standard base-pairing at the 3rd anti-codon position. RNAcentral also lists the same sequence under 2 other names. The record is from Rfam by way of RNAcentral. Lineage: Eukaryota; Metazoa; Chordata; Mammalia; Artiodactyla; Camelidae.